RNAcentral lists this ribosomal RNA (410 nucleotides) under uncultured Gammaproteobacteria bacterium. RNAcentral's name for it is "bacterial SSU rRNA". It matches the Rfam family "Bacterial small subunit ribosomal RNA", at positions 346 to 748 of the family's 1533-position model. The record is from RNAcentral. Lineage: Bacteria; Pseudomonadati; Pseudomonadota; Gammaproteobacteria.
AGGCAGCAGUGGGGAAUAUUGGACAAUGGGCGCAAGCCUGAUCCAGCAAUACCGCGAGUGUGAAGAAGGCCUUAGGGUUGUAAAGCACUUUCAAUUGGGAGGAAAACCUACCGGUCAAUACCCGGUAGCUUGACAUUACCUUUAGAAGAAGCACCGGCUAACUCCGUGCCAGCAGCCGCGGUAAUACGGAGGGUGCGAGCGUUAAUCGGAAUUACUGGGCGUAAAGCGUGCGUAGGCGGUUCGUUAAGUCAGAUGUGGAAGCCCUGGGCUCAACCUGGGAACGGCAUUUGAAACUGGCGGACUAGAGUUUAGUAGAGGGGAGUGGAAUUUCAGGUGUAGCGGUGAAAUGCGUAGAUAUCUGAAGGAACACCAGUGGCGAAGGCGACUCCCCUGGUCNAGAACUGACGUGA